This 2060-nucleotide long non-coding RNA is filed under the name Apteryx owenii (little spotted kiwi). RNAcentral's name for it is "lncRNA (ENSAOWG00000010695.1)". The record is from RNAcentral. Lineage: Eukaryota; Metazoa; Chordata; Aves; Apterygiformes; Apterygidae.
GUCACCGUGCCGUGGACAGUUGGAGGUGUUUAUGGAGCUCCGUCACCCUGCCGUGGACAGUCGGAGGUGUUUAUGGAGCUCCGUCACCGUGCCAUCCGUGGACAGUCGGAGGUGUUUAUGGAGCUCUGUCACCCUGCCGUGGACAGUCGGAGGUGUUUAUGGAGCUCCGUCACUGUGCCGUGGACAGUCGGAGGUGUUUAUGGCGCUCCAUCACCAUCUAUGGGCAACCAGAGGUGUCCAUGGACAACCAGAGACAUCCAUGGAGAUCCUGUGCCACCAUCUGUGGAGAUCCAGCGUCGCCCAUGGUAACCAGAGAUGUCUAUGGAGAUCCACCACCAUCCAUGGGCAAUCAUCACCAUCCGUGGAAAUCCAGUGCCACUAUCUGUGGAGAUCCAGCAUCAUCCAUGGACAUCCAGCCUCAUCCAUAGGCAACCAGAGACGUCUAUGGAGAUCCAUCAUCAUCUUUGGGCGACCAUCACCACCUGUGGGCCACCAGAGACGCCCAUGGAGAUCCAGUGUCACCAUCCAUGCACAUCCAGCAUCAUGCAUGAGCAACCAUCACCAUCCGUGGAGAUCCAGUGCCGCCAUCCAUGGAGAUCCAGCAUCAUCCGUGGAGAUCCAGUGCCACCAUCCAUGGACAGCUGGUGCUAGCCACGGGCAACCGGAGAUGUCCAUGGACAACCAGCUCGUGCACCCGCUGGUGGCCCCAGACAUCCUGCACUGCAGGCCAGGCCCCUCCCCGGAGCCGCCUGCCACCCCUGCCCCACGGCGUGACGCACCUAUGGGUGGCCCCUGCCCCGUGGGAUGGACGGCGGCGCCCAGGGACAACCGGAGCCGUCCGUGGACCUCCAGCACCAUCCAUGGACAGCCGGAGAUGGCCAGCGGACACCCGGCAGCGGCUGUGGACCUCUCGCGCCCUCGGUGCGGUCUCGUUGGCCAACCACCCCCCCGCCGUCAUCCCGUUGGCCAACCACCACCCUUGUUGCCAACCCGUUGGCCAACCAGUGCCACCAUCCCGUUGGCCAACCACCACCCUUGUUGCCAACCCGUUGGCCAACCAGUGCCACCAUCCCGUUGGCCAACCACCACCUUCACCGCCAUCCUGUUGGCCAACCAACGUUGCCAACUCAUUGGCCAACCAACGUUGCUGUCAUCCCGUUGGCCAACCAGUGCCAGUGCCACCCUCCCGUUGGCCAACCACCACCUUCACCGCCAACCCAUUGGCCAACCAAUGUUGCCAACCCAUUGGCCAACUGGUGCCAUCAUCCCGUUGGCCAACCACCACCCUUGUUGCCAUCCCAUUGGCCAACCAGCGUUGCCAACCCGUUGGCCAACCACCACCCUUGAUGCCAUCCCGUUGGCCAACCAGUGCCACCAUCCCGUUGGCCAACCAACGCUGCCAUCCCAUUGGCCAACCACCACCCUCGUUGCCAACCCGUUGGCCAACUGGUGCCACCAUCCCAUUGGCCAACCAAUGUUGCUGCCACCCUGUUGGCCAACCAGUGCCACCAUCCCAUUGGCCAACCGCCACCUUCACCACCAUCCCGUUGGCCAAUCAGUGCCACCAUCCCGUUGGCCAACCACCACCUUCACCGCCAUCCCAUUGGCCAACCAGUGCCACCAUCCCGUUGGCCAACCAACGCUGCCGCCAUCCCCUUGGCCAACCACCACCCUCGUUGCCAUCCCAUUGGCCAACCAAUGUCCCCCACCGUGCCAUGGCCCAACGCCGCGGUUGGCCAACCGGCGCCUGCCCCACACGGAUGUCCCCCACGGCCAACCAGCACCCGCCCCACGCCGUGACCCACAGAGGUCCCAGCGGCCAACCGCUGUCCCCAACGCCGUCGCCAUCCCGGUGGCCAACCGAUGUCCCCCCCGCGCUCCGACCCCGUUCCCGGAGGGCGACGCCAAUAAAGCGGGGAGGCAGGCGGCAGCGGCUGCUCCGUGGGGCGGCGCCGUGGGGCGGCCGGGCCCUUUAUUGGGGCGGAGCUUCGGGCUCCUCCUCGAAGGUGAGGGUGCGGCGCAGGGUCCCCAGGGGGCCGGGGCUGCCGUCGGGGGACCUG